GUUCAGUAGUUCUCCUUUAUCGGAGCGAGCCUGGGCUUCCACGGGUCCCGGCACGGCGACGUGCUGGCGCCGCCGCCGACGCAGUCCUCGGCACGGAGCUCGCCCUUGAGCUCCUCCAUCCGGGCCUUGCGCUCCCGCGCGCCCUGCGCGUUCAGCCUCGCCACCAGCGCCUCCGCGUCCUUCCUCUUCAGCACGACCUUCACCGUGACGACGACCGAGGCCUUUGCCUUUCUGACGGCGUCGUCGUCGUCGGACCCGACGCCGCCCGCCCACGAGACUCGGACUCCCCCCGCACGAGC
Molecule: unclassified non-coding RNA, 299 nt
Filed under: Zea mays
Lineage: Eukaryota; Viridiplantae; Streptophyta; Magnoliopsida; Poales; Poaceae
Description: misc RNA Zm00001eb360470
Source: RNAcentral